GACGAACGCUGGCGGCGUGCUUAACACAUGCAAGUCGAACGGUGAAGCUCCAGCUUGCUGGAGUGGAUCAGUGGCGAACGGGUGAGUAACACGUGAGCAACCUGCCCCUGACUCUGGAAUAAGCGCUGGAAACGGCGUCUAAUACUAGAUACGAGAAGGGUCCGCAUGGGCACUUUCUGGAAAGUUUUUCGGUUGGGGAUGGGCUCGCGGCCUAUCAGCUUGUUGGUGAGGUAAUGGCUCACCAAGGCGACGACGGGUAGCCGGCCUGAGAGGGCGACCGGCCACACUGGGACUGAGACACGGCCCAGACUCCUACGGGAGGCAGCAGUGGGGAAUAUUGCACAAUGGGCGAAAGCCUGAUGCAGCGACGCCGCGUGAGGGAUGACGGCCUUCGGGUUGUAAACCUCUUUCAGCAGGGAAGAAGCGAAAGUGACGGUACCUGCAGAAGAAGCACCGGCUAACUACGUG
This 468-nucleotide ribosomal RNA is filed under the name uncultured bacterium. RNAcentral's name for it is "partial 16S ribosomal RNA". It matches the Rfam family "Bacterial small subunit ribosomal RNA", at positions 28 to 507 of the family's 1533-position model. The record is from RNAcentral.